This 466-nucleotide ribosomal RNA is filed under the name Pseudomonas savastanoi. RNAcentral describes it as "bacterial SSU rRNA". It matches the Rfam family "Bacterial small subunit ribosomal RNA", at positions 122 to 587 of the family's 1533-position model. Lineage: Bacteria; Pseudomonadati; Pseudomonadota; Gammaproteobacteria; Pseudomonadales; Pseudomonadaceae. The record is from RNAcentral.
GAAUCUGCCUGGUAGUGGGGGAUAACGCUCGGAAACGGACGCUAAUACCGCAUACGUCCUACGGGAGAAAGCAGGGGACCUUCGGGCCUUGCGCUAUCAGAUGAGCCUAGGUCGGAUUAGCUAGUUGGUGAGGUAAUGGCUCACCAAGGCGACGAUCCGUAACUGGUCUGAGAGGAUGAUCAGUCACACUGGAACUGAGACACGGUCCAGACUCCUACGGGAGGCAGCAGUGGGGAAUAUUGGACAAUGGGCGAAAGCUGAUCCAGCCAUGCCGCGUGUGUGAAGAAGGUCUUCGGAUUGUAAAGCACUUUAAGUUGGGAGGAAGGGCAGUUACCAAUACGUGAUUGUUUUGACGUUACCGACAGAAUAAGCACCGGCUAACUCUGUGCCAGCAGCCGCGGUAAUACAGAGGGUGCAAGCGUUAAUCGGAAUUACUGGGCGUAAAGCGCGCGUAGGUGUUGUUAAG